GGGGAUGUAGCUCAGUGGUAGAGCGCUUGCUUCGCAUGUAAGAG
Molecule: transfer RNA, 44 nt
Filed under: Eurypyga helias (sunbittern)
Lineage: Eukaryota; Metazoa; Chordata; Aves; Eurypygiformes; Eurypygidae
Rfam family: tRNA
About the family: Transfer RNA (tRNA) molecules are approximately 80 nucleotides in length. Their secondary structure includes four short double-helical elements and three loops (D, anti-codon, and T loops).
Source: Rfam by way of RNAcentral